GUCAGCAGCUGUAUCACUCUGCAACUCACAACUGGCAACUGGCAACCCACUGAAGCAAAGCAGGUGUGAGUCUGGUUAGUACCUGGAUGGUAGACCUCAUGGGAAAGCCAAGGUUACUGCUGGAA
This 125-nucleotide ribosomal RNA is filed under the name Lepisosteus oculatus (spotted gar). Lineage: Eukaryota; Metazoa; Chordata; Actinopteri; Semionotiformes; Lepisosteidae. The record is from RNAcentral.